This 274-nucleotide ribosomal RNA is filed under the name uncultured bacterium. RNAcentral's name for it is "partial 16S ribosomal RNA". It matches the Rfam family "Bacterial small subunit ribosomal RNA", at positions 80 to 354 of the family's 1533-position model. The record is from RNAcentral.
UUCCUGUUUAUCUUAGUGGCGGACGGGUGAGUAACGCGUGGGUAACCUGCCCUGUACAGGGGGAUAACACUUAGAAAUAGGUGCUAAAACCGCAUAAGCGCACAGUACCGCAUGGUACAGUGUGAAAAACUCCGGUGGUACAGGAUGGACCCGCGUCUGAUUAGCUGGUUGGAGGGGUAACGGCCCACCAAGGCGACGAUCAGUAGCCGGCCUGAGAGGGUGAACGGCCACAUUGGGACUGGGACACGGCCCAAACUCCUACGGAAGGCAGCAG